GACGAACGCUGGCGGCGUGCUUAGCACAUGCAAGUCGAACGGAAAGGCCCUGCUUGCAGGGUACUCGAGUGGCGAACGGGUGAGUAACACGUGGGUGAUCUGCCCUGCACUUCGGGAUAAGCUUGGGAAACUGGGUCUAAUACCGGAUAGGAACCAUCUUUAGUGUGGUGGUUGGAAAGUUUUUUCGGUGUAGGAUGAGCUCGCGGCCUAUCAGCUUGUUGGUGGGGUAAUGGCCUACCAAGGCGGCGACGGGUAGCCGGCCUGAGAGGGUGUACGGCCACAUUGGGACUGAGAUACGGCCCAGACUCCUACGGGAGGCAGCAGUGGGGAAUAUUGCACAAUGGGCGCAAGCCUGAUGCAGCGACGCCGCGUGGGGGAUGAAGGCCUUCGGGUUGUAAACUCCUUUCGCUAGGGACGAAGCUUUGUUGUGACGGUACCUAGAUAAGAAGCACCGGCUAACUACGUG
RNAcentral lists this ribosomal RNA (466 nucleotides) under uncultured bacterium. Its description in RNAcentral is "partial 16S ribosomal RNA". It matches the Rfam family "Bacterial small subunit ribosomal RNA", at positions 28 to 507 of the family's 1533-position model. The record is from RNAcentral.